UACGGAGGGAGCUAGCGUUGUUCGGAAUUACUGGGCGUAAAGCGCGCGUAGGCGGCUUUGUAAGUUAGAGGUGAAAGCCCGAAGCUCAACUCCGGAACUGCCUUUAAAACUGCAUCGCUUGAAUCCAGGAGAGGUGAGUGGAAUUCCGAGUGUAGAGGUGAAAUUCGUAGAUAUUCGGAAGAACACCAGUGGCGAAGGCGGCUCACUGGACUGGUAUUGACGCUGAGGUGCGAAAGCGUGGGGAGCAAACAGG
Molecule: ribosomal RNA, 253 nt
Filed under: uncultured bacterium
Lineage: Bacteria
Description: partial 16S ribosomal RNA
Rfam family: Bacterial small subunit ribosomal RNA
Source: RNAcentral